CAUGGUCUUAGCUUGCUAAGGCCGAUGGCGACCGGCGCACGGGUGAGUAACACGUAUCCAACCUGCCGUCUACUCUUGGACAGCCUUCUGAAAGGAAGAUUAAUACAAGAUGGCAUCAUGAGUCCGCAUGUUCACAUGAUUAAAGGUAUUCCGGUAGACGAUGGGGAUGCGUUCCAUUAGAUAGUAGGCGGGGUAACGGCCCACCUAGUCUUCGAUGGAUAGGGGUUCUGAGAGGAAGGUCCCCCACAUUGGAACUGAGACACGGUCCAAACUCCUACGGGAGGCAGCAGUGAGGAAUAUUGGUCAAUGGGCGAGAGCCUGAACCAGCCAAGUAGCGUGAAGGAUGACUGCCCUAUGGGUUGUAAACUUCUUUUAUAAAGGAAUAAAGUCGGGUAUGGAUACCCGUUUGCAUGUACUUUAUGAAUAAGGAUCGGCUAACUCCGUGCCAGCAGCCGCGGUAAUACGGAGGAUCCGAGCGUUAUCCGGAUUUAUUGGGUUUAAAGGGAGCGUAGAUGGAUGUUUAAGUCAGUUGUGAAAGUUUGCGGCUCAACCGUAAAAUUGCAGUUGAUACUGGAUAUCUUGAGUGCAGUUGAGGCAGGCGGAAUUCGUGGUGUAGCGGUGAAAUGCUUAGAUAUCACGAAGAACUCCGAUUGCGAAGGCAGCCUGCUAAACUGCAACUGACAUUGAG
RNAcentral lists this ribosomal RNA (688 nucleotides) under uncultured Bacteroidales bacterium. RNAcentral describes it as "bacterial SSU rRNA". It matches the Rfam family "Bacterial small subunit ribosomal RNA", at positions 70 to 750 of the family's 1533-position model. The record is from RNAcentral. Lineage: Bacteria; Pseudomonadati; Bacteroidota; Bacteroidia; Bacteroidales.